GACCAAAAUCUUCUUACAGCAGCCAACAACGGAGUCCCAGUUAAGGAGGCGAACAUACCAAUCCCAACCAGCUGAAAAUGCAAUGUGAAAGUUGAAAAACUAUCUCAUACUGCAGAUUUAUUCGUUGGUUACUUUGUAUUGUCUACAAGGAUCCAGGGACUUGAUGAUGGAACGAAUGAACACUUGUACAGUUGAAAAAUGUGUUGUUGAAUUUAUAGUUAUGAGCGGUCAAUUGUCAUUUACUGAAGUUUCAACUUGACUCUUUCGAUCUGUUAUUUUGCAUGUUGAUGCAUGAUAGCAUUGGCA
This 306-nucleotide unclassified non-coding RNA is filed under the name Hevea brasiliensis (rubber tree). The record is from RNAcentral. Lineage: Eukaryota; Viridiplantae; Streptophyta; Magnoliopsida; Malpighiales; Euphorbiaceae.